UCAACUGUUCUGUGACAAAUGAUGAUUG
Molecule: small RNA, 28 nt
Filed under: Bombyx mori (domestic silkworm)
Lineage: Eukaryota; Metazoa; Arthropoda; Insecta; Lepidoptera; Bombycidae
Description: ovarian small RNA-24659
Source: RNAcentral